Non-coding RNA from Myotis lucifugus (little brown bat), 74 nucleotides. The record is from Rfam. NCBI's taxonomy places the organism in Eukaryota, Metazoa, Chordata, Mammalia, Chiroptera, Vespertilionidae.
GCCAGUUUGGCUCAGUGGCUAGAGCGUUGGCCUGCAGACUGAAGGGUUCCGGGUUCAAUUCCCGGUAAAGGGCA